AAGGAUCAUUAAAGUAUCUUUCGGUCUUGCCUGCGCUUUAAUUAGCGCGGCGACCAAACCUUACACACAUUGCUUAGUAUUUUCUAACAUUGCUUUGGGUUUCUUUCGGGAAGCCCAGAGGUUUAAAACACAAGAUUUUAUAUCUUUUUUAUAAACAUUAGUCAAGAAGUUUUCUUAAAAACAAAUCUUCAAAACUUUCAACAACGGAUCUCUUGGUUCUCGCAACGAUGAAGAACGCAGCGAAAUGCGAUACGUAAUGUGAAUUGCAGGUUUUCGUGAAUCAUCGAAUCUUUGAACGCAUAUUGCGCCCUCUGGUAUUCCGGAGGGCAUGCCUGUUUGAGCGUCAUUUCUCUCUCAAACCUUCGGGUUUGGUAUUGAGUGAUACUCUUAACUGGGUUAACUUGAAAUAAAGUUGGCAAGAGCUGCUUCAGCAGAUCUCCUUCUGAACUAACGUUUCUAGGUUCUACCAAUUCGUUAAGGACAGUUGCGUGUCUCUCUAGCUUACAGGCUCGGCCUAACAAUAUUUUACAUAAGUUUGACCUCAAAUCAGGUAGGACUACCCGCUGAACUUAAGCAUAUCAAUAAGCGGAGGAAAAGAAACCAACAGGGAUUGCCUCAGUAACGGCGAGUGAAGCGGCAAGAGCUCAAAUUUGAAAUCUGGUACCUUCGGUGCCCGAGUUGUAAUUUGAAGGUAGUUUUCUGGUGCUGGCCCUUGUCUAUGUUCCUUGGAACAGGACGUCAUAGAGGGUGAGAAUCCCGUCUGAUGGGGUGUCCAGUGCUUUGUAGAUUUCUACCGACGAGUCGAGUUGUUUGGGAAUGCAGCUCUAAGUGGGUGGUAAAUUCCAUCUAAAGCUAAAUAUUGGCGAGAGACCGAUAGCGAACAAGUACAGUGAUGGAAAGAUGAAAAGAACUUUGAAAAGAGAGUGAAAAAGUACGUGAAAUUGUUGAAAGGGAAGGGUAUUGGAUCAGACUUGGUGUUUUGUGAUUAUCUUCCCUUCUUGGGUUGUGCACUCGCAUUUCACUGGGCCAGCAUCGAUUCGGAUGGCAAGAUAAUGGCUUGAGAACGUGGCACUCCUCGGAGUGUGUUAUAGCUCUUGUUGAUGUUGCCUAUCUGGAUCGAGGACUGCGGCUUUUGCCUAGGAUGCUGGCGUAAUGAUUCAAUACCGC
RNAcentral lists this small RNA (1167 nucleotides) under Petasospora japonica. RNAcentral describes it as "eukaryotic LSU rRNA". The stretch from base 537 to 1167 matches the Rfam family "Eukaryotic large subunit ribosomal RNA", at positions 1 to 648 of the family's 3401-position model. Lineage: Eukaryota; Fungi; Ascomycota; Saccharomycetes; Phaffomycetales; Wickerhamomycetaceae. The record is from RNAcentral.